UUAAUGUUAAUUAAGAUCGAUAAAUCAUAGCUAUUUACUUCUUGAUUUCUGAAAAUUUUAAUUAAUCAUGGGCCACGCUAUUCUCUGUUUUACUUCACUAUAUCAUUCCUAAAUUUCGACCUGCCUUCGCCAUGCCAUAUAUAUAUAUAGUGAACUCUGAGUUUUAACUUUAUGGAAGGACAACUAUGUGACGUAAAUAUGAUACAAUAUAUAAUAUUUCGUUCUAUGAGUAACAGUGUAUGAUGAAGGGAUUUAUAACUUGUCUGCCAUAAAUCCGAUCUAAAUUUAAAGACACGAAGAUUGAUACGCGCUGAUACAAGAUUGGUAACAGGAGAUACAGGGAAGAAAGAGCAAGAGG
Long non-coding RNA from Trachymyrmex cornetzi, 358 nucleotides. RefSeq lists it as uncharacterized. The record is from RefSeq and is a predicted model, not a curated record. The transcript has 3 exons. NCBI's taxonomy places the organism in Eukaryota, Metazoa, Arthropoda, Insecta, Hymenoptera, Formicidae.